RNAcentral lists this ribosomal RNA (305 nucleotides) under uncultured bacterium. RNAcentral describes it as "bacterial SSU rRNA". It matches the Rfam family "Bacterial small subunit ribosomal RNA", at positions 333 to 630 of the family's 1533-position model. The record is from RNAcentral.
UUGUUCCUACGGGAGGCAGCAGUAGGGAAUCUUCCACAAUGGGCGAAAGCCUGAUGGAGCAACGCCGCGUGGGUGAAGAAGGUCUUCGGAUCGUAAAACCCUGUUGUUAGAGAAGAAAGUGCGUGAGAGUAACUGUUCACGUUUCGACGGUAUCUAACCAGAAAGCCACGGCUAACUACGUGCCAGCAGCCGCGGUAAUACGGAGGAUGCGAGCGUUAUCCGGAUUUAUUGGGCGUAAAGGGAACGCAGGCGGUCUUUUAAGUCUGAUGUGAAAGCCUUCGGCUUAACCGGAGUAGUGCAUUGGG